Long non-coding RNA from Nothoprocta perdicaria, 366 nucleotides. RefSeq lists it as uncharacterized. NCBI's taxonomy places the organism in Eukaryota, Metazoa, Chordata, Aves, Tinamiformes, Tinamidae. The transcript is spliced from 2 exons. The record is from RefSeq and is a predicted model, not a curated record.
AGAUGGGUUUUUUUGUUCUUCUGUGGCCAUGAAAAUGAGGGGUGAGGGACUCGAGUAUAAAUGAGGAUGCUCACCCAGUGUAAGCAACCAGUGUAGCCAGCUGAUGUCUCCUGGUGUAACUGCUGGAGGAAGAAAUGUUCUUCUAGAGUGACUAAUUUAGUGCUUGGACUUGUCAGUUGGAAGAGUCAUUCCCUUCCAUGGGCUCUGGAAGAAGCCAGAAAUACAAGGCUAACCAAGGUGAAUCUACCUGCAUAAAUAUACUUGUAACCUAAUGUGGAAACCAACAAGAGUAACAGGACAAUAACAGGACUAUCUGCCUAUAAACAUCUUUUGCCUUGUGGAAAACUAGUCAAACCCAACUGGACA